GAUGAACGCUGGCGGCGUGCCUAAUACAUGCAAGUCGAGCGAACGGACGAGAAGCUUGCUUCUCUGAUGUUAGCGGCGGACGGGUGAGUAACACGUGGAUAACCUACCUAUAAGACUGGGAUAACUUCGGGAAACCGGAGCUAAUACCAGAUAAUAUUUUGAACUGCAUGGUUCAAAAGUGAAAGACGGUCUUGCUGUCACUUAUAGAUGGAUCCGCGCUGCAUUAGCUAGUUGGUAAGGUAACGGCUUACCAAGGCAACGAUGCAUAGCCGACCUGAGAGGGUGAUCGGCCACACUGGAACUGAGACACGGUCCAGACUCCUACGGGAGGCAGCAGUAGGGAAUCUUCCGCAAUGGGCGAAAGCCUGACGGAGCAACGCCGCGUGAGUGAUGAAGGUCUUCGGAUCGUAAAACUCUGUUAUUAGGGAAGAACAUAUGUGUAAGUAACUGUGCACAUCUUGACGGUACCUAAUCAGAAAGCCACGGCUAACUACGUGCCAGCAGCCGCGGUAAUACGUAGGUGGCAAGCGUUAUCCGGAAUUAUUGGGCGUAAAGCGCGCGUAGGCGGUUUUUUAAGUCUGAUGUGAAAGCCCACGGCUCAACCGUGGAGGGUCAUUGGAAACUGGAAAACUUGAGUGCAGAAGAGGAAAGUGGAAUUCCAUGUGUAGCGGUGAAAUGCGCAGAGAUAUGGAGGAACACCAGUGGCGAAGGCGACUUUCUGGUCUGUAACUGACGCUGAUGUGCGAAAGCGUGGGGAUCAAACAGGAUUAGAUACCCUGGUAGUCCACGCCGUAAACGAUGAGUGCUAAGUGUUAGGGGGUUUCCGCCCCUUAGUGCUGCAGCUAACGCAUUAAGCACUCCGCCUGGGGAGUACGACCGCAAGGUUGAAACUCAAAGGAAUUGACGGGGACCCGCACAAGCGGUGGAGCAUGUGGUUUAAUUCGAAGCAACGCGAAGAACCUUACCAAAUCUUGACAUCCUUUGACAACUCUAGAGAUAGAGCCUUCCCCUUCGGGGGACAAAGUGACAGGUGGUGCAUGGUUGUCGUCAGCUCGUGUCGUGAGAUGUUGGGUUAAGUCCCGCAACGAGCGCAACCCUUAAGCUUAGUUGCCAUCAUUAAGUUGGGCACUCUAAGUUGACUGCCGGUGACAAACCGGAGGAAGGUGGGGAUGACGUCAAAUCAUCAUGCCCCUUAUGAUUUGGGCUACACACGUGCUACAAUGGACAAUACAAAGGGCAGCGAAACCGCGAGGUCAAGCAAAUCCCAUAAAGUUGUUCUCAGUUCGGAUUGUAGUCUGCAACUCGACUACAUGAAGCUGGAAUCGCUAGUAAUCGUAGAUCAGCAUGCUACGGUGAAUACGUUCCCGGGUCU
Molecule: ribosomal RNA, 1372 nt
Filed under: uncultured bacterium
Lineage: Bacteria
Description: bacterial SSU rRNA
Rfam family: Bacterial small subunit ribosomal RNA
Source: RNAcentral